ACAACAUUUGUUAGCAUUUAUGUCUUACAUCAAUCACUACUCAAACAGCUGUAAAUCAUGUAUAGUAACAUAUUGUUUUCCACGCUAAUAUAAAAGUGAAAAAAAAAAAGAAACAGGGAAUGGAUCAAAGAGACACAUGCUUUGAUGAAUGUGACAAAUAUAAAGAACAAAUAAAUUUCAAACAUGUUAUGUUUUAGGUCCCUUGAUAACAACAAAAUUACCAGGCUCAAUGCGAAUUUAUUUCGAGGUUUAGCGGCUUUGAGAUUCUUGUAAGUAACUUGAUCCUGCAAAAAAAAAAAAAAAUAAAAAAAAAAAAUGGGCCACCAUGUGUAUAUUAUUUACUUUCACAUUGUAUUACACUUCUCUUGAAAGUUUGCGCACACUGGUAUCUUUAUAGCUGUGUAAAAUAUGUUAGAUAAUAAUUUAUAUUUUCAAAAUCAUUUAUCUAAAUUGAUACAUUUGUCGAAGAAAAAGUGAAAUGUAAUGGGUUUUAUAACACAUAAACUAGUUUACAAACAUCUUUACCCACAUCCAUGUUAGCCAUCUCUUUCUAUUUCAAGCUGUUUCUUAUCCUGAAAAUUAAAAUAUGUUUCAAAAUUACAUUCAAAAUGUUAUUUUUCAGGUUCCUUUACAGCAAUAAAAUUUCCAUAUUUGAUAAAAAUCAAUUUCGAGGAUUGACGGUUCUUGAAUCCUUGU
This 696-nucleotide long non-coding RNA is filed under the name Mytilus galloprovincialis (Mediterranean mussel). The record is from RNAcentral. Lineage: Eukaryota; Metazoa; Mollusca; Bivalvia; Mytilida; Mytilidae.